GGGGUUGUGGCUCAGUGGUAGAGUGCUUGCCUCGCACAUAUGCGGCCCUGAGUUUGAUCCUCAGCACCA
RNAcentral lists this transfer RNA (69 nucleotides) under Ictidomys tridecemlineatus (thirteen-lined ground squirrel). RNAcentral's name for it is "Spermophilus tridecemlineatus (thirteen-lined ground squirrel) tRNA". It matches the Rfam family "tRNA". From Rfam's summary of the family: Transfer RNA (tRNA) molecules are approximately 80 nucleotides in length. Their secondary structure includes four short double-helical elements and three loops (D, anti-codon, and T loops). The record is from Rfam by way of RNAcentral. Lineage: Eukaryota; Metazoa; Chordata; Mammalia; Rodentia; Sciuridae.